AGGACGAACGCUGGCGGCGUGCCUAAUACAUGCAAGUCGAGGGAGAUGAACUUACAGAUUUACUUCGGUGGCGACCGGCAGAAAGCGGCGGAACGAUGGCUGAGUAACCCUUGGGGAACCUGACCCACCAUCUGGGAUACCACUUGGAAACAGGUGCUAAUACCGAUGGAGAAAGCUAUCGCAUGAUCAGCUUUUAAAGGGCAUGGGUGGGUGUCUGAUUGGGAUGGCCCCGGGGUGCAGGACCUCCUUGCCUACGAAAAGGCUUUCAUGGGAGAUCAUGCUCAGCCAAGUUGAGACAGUGACCCGCCCCCUUGUCCCUGAGACGGCGCCCAUACUCCUUCUGGAGGAAUGGACACGGAAUCUACCCCACCGUGCCCCGGGCUGAAGGAACGUCCCCUGGAGAGUGAACAUCGUUUUCGGAUCGCAAAGCUCUG
This 434-nucleotide ribosomal RNA is filed under the name uncultured bacterium. RNAcentral describes it as "bacterial SSU rRNA". It matches the Rfam family "Bacterial small subunit ribosomal RNA", at positions 26 to 435 of the family's 1533-position model. The record is from RNAcentral.